This 775-nucleotide ribosomal RNA is filed under the name uncultured Neocallimastigales. Its description in RNAcentral is "partial large subunit ribosomal RNA". It matches the Rfam family "Eukaryotic large subunit ribosomal RNA", at positions 24 to 645 of the family's 3401-position model. The record is from RNAcentral. Lineage: Eukaryota; Fungi; Neocallimastigomycota; Neocallimastigomycetes; Neocallimastigales.
UAUCUCUGUAGAGUCUGCAUAUCAAUAAGCGGAGGAAAAGAAACUAACAAGGAUUCCCUAGUAACGGCGAGUGAAGCGGGAAGAGCUCAAAUUUGAAAUCUUAAAGGUUUUCCCUUGACGAAUUGUAGUUUAAAGAAGUGUUUUCUGUUGAAGUUUCGGUAAAAGUUCUUUGGAAUAGGACAUCAUAGAGGGUGAGAAUCCCGUAUUUGACCAGUUAUUUUCCAGCUGUGUGAUACACUUUCAAAGAGUCGGAUUGUUUGGGAAUGCAGUCCAAAAUGGGUGGUAAAUUUCAUCUAAAGCUAAAUACUGGCGAGAGACCGAUAGCGAACAAGUACCGUGAGGGAAAGAUGAAAAGAACUUUGAAAAGAGAGUUAAACAGUACGUGAAAUUGUCAAAAGGGAAGCGUUUGACACCAGUGUUGUUUUCUCGAAAAUCAAUUAAAAAUGGCAGGAUUUUGUGUUGUAUUGACUUUAUCAGCUUUCUGCACUUUUUUCUUGUCUUUUUUAAUGCACUUUUCGUUUAACAAGUCAACAUCAAUUUCUUUUGUUGUAAAAGGGUCAUUGGAAGGUGGCUUUCUUUUCGGAGAAAGUGUUUAUAGCCUUUGACUUCUGCAGUCGGAGAGAUUGAGGUCUGCAGCGUAGAUCCUUCGGGGUUAGAUGCAUUUGUGCUAAGUUAUAGCCUUUCAUAGACAACUUGUUGACUAUGAUCAGUCAUGUAGCUUACUCGCUUAUGUUAUUUUACCUACGCUUAGGAUGUUGAUCUCUCACAGUCGAGC